Molecule: ribosomal RNA, 253 nt
Filed under: uncultured bacterium
Lineage: Bacteria
Description: partial 16S ribosomal RNA
Rfam family: Bacterial small subunit ribosomal RNA
Source: RNAcentral
UACGUAGGGUGCAAGCGUUAAUCGGAAUUACUGGGCGUAAAGCGUGCGCAGGCGGUGAUGUAAGACAGGUGUGAAAUCCCCAGGCUCAACCGGGGAACUGCGUCUGAUACUGGAUGGCUUGAGUUCGGGAGAGGGAUGUGGAAUUCCAGGUGUAGCGGUGAAAUGCGUAGAUACUGGGAGGAACACCAGUGGCGAAGGCGGCUACCUGGACCGGUUCUGACGCUGAGGCGCGAAAGCGUGGGUAGCAAACAGG